UACGGGGGGAGCAAGCGUUGUUCGGAUUUACUGGGCGUAAAGGGCGCGUAGGCGGUCGUGACAAGUCACUUGUGAAAUCUCCGGGCUUAACUCGGAACGGUCAAGUGAUACUGUCGGACUAGAGUACAGAAGGGGCAACUGGAAUUCUCGGUGUAGCGGUGAAAUGCGUAGAUAUCGAGAGGAACACCUACGGCGAAGGCGGGUUGCUGGGCUGACACUGACGCUGAGGCGCGAAAGCCAGGGGAGCGAACGGG
Molecule: ribosomal RNA, 254 nt
Filed under: uncultured bacterium
Lineage: Bacteria
Description: partial 16S ribosomal RNA
Rfam family: Bacterial small subunit ribosomal RNA
Source: RNAcentral